UUUCCGUAGGUGAACCUGCGGAAGGAUCAUUAUAAAUGAAAAACGAAUAACUUCAGGGAAGAAGGGAACCUGCACGGUGACCUCCCCUGUCGGGCCACCCAAUACCUUCAAAAUGCCGCCGUCCUAGCGGUGGCAGACGAAAAAAAAACAAGAAAAACAAAAUAGAAACAGGCACGGUGGCCCGUUCACCUUCACACAACCCUCCGAGUACCGCUUCCAUGUUGCUUCCCCGCAAAUCCACCUCUUUGGUGAGCGCGGGGGAGGUCCGCAUCAAAUUCACCUGAAUGUCGCAGCAGUCAGACAGCCAUUCAUGGAAACAAUAAAACUUUCAACAACGGAUCUCUUGGUUCCC
This 352-nucleotide unclassified non-coding RNA is filed under the name plant metagenome. RNAcentral's name for it is "partial contains small subunit ribosomal RNA, internal transcribed spacer 1, and 5.8S ribosomal RNA". The record is from RNAcentral.